This 350-nucleotide ribosomal RNA is filed under the name Trichuris trichiura (human whipworm). RNAcentral describes it as "partial large subunit ribosomal RNA". The record is from RNAcentral. Lineage: Eukaryota; Metazoa; Nematoda; Enoplea; Trichinellida; Trichuridae.
GGUAGCGUAAUCAUUUGUUUAAUAAUUUUAAACUAGAAUGAAAGGAACAAAGUAUACUAACUGUUAAUUAAAAUUUAACAUAAAUCUUUGGCUGAGUGCAAAAACUUAGAAUAAAAAUAUAAACGAGAAGACCCUGGGAAUUUUAAUAUUUUUAUUGGGAUAAUAUAAAACCAUACUUAGCUAAGCAACAAAUAACAUUAAUAAAAAGAAAUUACCCCAGGGAUAACAGCACAAUAGUCAUUAAGAGACCUAAUCUCAGUGAUUGAUUAUGACCUCGAUGUUGAAUCAUUUGUACAUAUAGUUUGCAGAAGAAUUUUAUUCUCGUCUGUUCGACGAUAGACAUUACGUGA